RNAcentral lists this ribosomal RNA (419 nucleotides) under uncultured bacterium. RNAcentral's name for it is "bacterial SSU rRNA". It matches the Rfam family "Bacterial small subunit ribosomal RNA", at positions 358 to 774 of the family's 1533-position model. The record is from RNAcentral.
GGAAUAUUGGACAAUGGCCGAGAGGCUGAUCCAGCCAUGCCGCGUGCGGGAGGACGGCCCUAUGGGUUGUAAACCGCUUUUGUUGGGGUGCAAUAAGGUCUACGUGUAGACUGAUGAGAGUACCCAGCGAAUAAGCAUCGGCUAACUCCGUGCCAGCAGCCGCGGUAAUACGGAGGAUGCGAGCGUUAUCCGGAUUUAUUGGGUUUAAAGGGUGCGUAGGCGGAAGGUUAAGCGUGAGGUGAAAUGCUGCUGCUCAACAGCAGAACUGCCUCGCGAACUGGGUGCCUUGAAUGUCCGUGCCGUGGGAGGAAUGUGUGGUGUAGCGGUGAAAUGCAUAGAGAUCACACAGAACACCGAUUGCGAAGGCAUCUCACGAACGGAUGAUUGACGCUGAGGCACGAAAGCGUGGGGAUCAAACA